RNAcentral lists this small nucleolar RNA (161 nucleotides) under Nelumbo nucifera (sacred lotus). RNAcentral describes it as "small nucleolar RNA snoR143". It matches the Rfam family "small nucleolar RNA snoR143". The record is from Rfam by way of RNAcentral. Lineage: Eukaryota; Viridiplantae; Streptophyta; Magnoliopsida; Proteales; Nelumbonaceae.
UUGCACUUGUAUCAUAGGCCUCUCUAAUUCUUGUAGGGAGGUCUUGAGCUAGGUGCAUAAAGAAAAAGCUGUUCAAUCAGCAGCGGCCAGACAACCGUAAAGAUGAAUCCACAGGUGAUUGGCUUAUUUUGCCAUUCAGCUACUGAUUUCAUCUUACAUCA